AUGAUUUGGGAGAUCCUGCUCCUGCUUCCACCGGAGCGGCCCUCCCUCGUGCUGCCACCGAAGCGGCGCUCCUUCCUGCGCGCAUCCGGCGUCUCCACGCUCUGGCGAGGCGUCGCCACCGACCCCAACUUUAUGAGCCAGCACCGCAGGAAGUGGAAGCCUCCCCUCCUCGGCGUUUUCGAGCGCCGCCAGCAGAAGUUCCACUUCACCCCCGUCUUGCAUCCUCCCGACGGUAUCCCUGCCGACCGCAUUCACAUCUCAAGCCAGAUGACCUCCCGCGACUGCGACGCGACCGGCUGCCGCCACGGUCGGGUGCUGGCCAUACACAGGCUGCUGCCGCGUCUUGUCGUGUUCGCCCCCCUCACCGGCCAGGAGCACUGCCUGGCCUUUCCGGACGAGUUCAGGGAGUGCAACUACCACCACGGGGCUGUGCUCUGUGCUGCCAGCGGCCCGGAGGACCACGUGCACGGCUUUUGCCACGAGAGCCCAUUCAAGGUGGCAUUCUUGUCGAGGUACCCUACACGCUAUCGAUUUAUCACAUCUGUUUACUCAUCAGAAAGUGGCACAUGGGGCGGCCUUAAGGAAAUAGAAGCUCCAUUUAAAGUUGCUCUUGUUGAUGUUCCUGCGACCCUGGUUGGAAAUGUGCUCUACUGGAUGCUUUCAUCAAAUGAUGUUUGUGCUGCCAUGCUUGAGUUUGAUUUGGAUACGCAGAGCCUAGCUGUGAUCAAGGGACCUUCUGAUAUGAAUUAUUCCGGCAGCCAUAGGAUCAUCAAAAUAGAGCAAGGCACGGUUGGCUGGGUCAGGUUUUCAUUUCCGAGCCUAGAGAUAUGGCUGAGGCAAAAGAAUUGUCAUGGUGUUGCCACGUGGUUGCAGCACAAGACAGUUGAUAUGCAUGACAUUCUUGGGAUCCCUCCCCGGGCUAGUAAUAAUCGGUGGCAUCAGAAAAUCCUCUCCUAUGACGAGGACAACAAUGUGAUCAUUCUGUAUGUUGAUGACAGUGCCUACAUGCUUGAUCUUAAGUCGAUGGAAUCCACAAAACUUGAUGAAAGCCGUUUGAUGAAUCGCUGUCACCCUUUCGCCAGUUUCUAUCCACCAGACAUGACCAUCUAA
Molecule: ribosomal RNA, 1110 nt
Filed under: Triticum aestivum (bread wheat)
Lineage: Eukaryota; Viridiplantae; Streptophyta; Magnoliopsida; Poales; Poaceae
Description: partial small subunit ribosomal RNA
Source: RNAcentral